CAUAGCGACUAUCGUGGCAUAUCAAUAAGCGGAGGAAAAGAAACUAACAAGGAUUCCCUUAGUAACGGCGAGUGAAGCGGGAAGAGCUCAAAUUUGAAAUCUUCAAGGUUUUACCUUGACGAAUUGUAGUUUAAAGAAGUGUUUUCUGUUGGAGUUUUGGUAAAAGUUCUUUGGAAUAGGACAUCAUAGAGGGUGAGAAUCCCGUAUUUGACCAUUAUUUCCAGCUGUGUGAUGCAGCUUUCAACGAGUCGGAUUGUUUGGGAAUGCAGUCCAAAAUGGGUGGUAAAUUUCAUCUAAAGCUAAAUAUUGGCGAGAGACCGAUAGCGAACAAGUACCGUGAGGGAAAGAUGAAAAGAACUUUGAAAAGAGAGUUAAACAGUACGUGAAAUUGUCAAAAGGGAAGCGUUUGACACCAGUGUUGUUUUCUCGAAAAUCAAUUAAAAAAGGCCGGAUUUUGUGUUGUAUUGACCUUAAAAGCUUUCUUCACUCUUUUCUUGUCUUUUUUAAUGCACUUUUCGUUUAACAAGUCAACAUUCAGUUUCUUUUGUUGUAAAAGGGUCAUUGGAAGGUGGCUUUCUUUUCGGAGAAAGUGUUUAUAGCCUUUGAUCUCUGCAACCGGAGAGACUGAGGUCUGCAGCGUAGACUCUUCGGGGUUAAGAUACAUUUGUGCUAAGCUAUAGCUUUUUAUAGACAACUUGUUGACUAUAUUUAGUCUUGUGGCUUACUCGCUUAUGCUAUUUUACCUACGCUUAGGAUGUUGAUAGUCACAGCGUGUAC
RNAcentral lists this ribosomal RNA (777 nucleotides) under uncultured Neocallimastigales. RNAcentral's name for it is "partial large subunit ribosomal RNA". It matches the Rfam family "Eukaryotic large subunit ribosomal RNA", at positions 22 to 610 of the family's 3401-position model. Lineage: Eukaryota; Fungi; Neocallimastigomycota; Neocallimastigomycetes; Neocallimastigales. The record is from RNAcentral.